AUCUGUGACCUGCACCACAGCUCAUGGCAAUGCCGGAUCCUUAACCCACUGAGCAAGGCCAGGAAUCGAACCUGCAUCUUCAUGGAUGCAGUGGGUUAGUUAACCACUGAGCCACGACGGGAAUACUUGGGACUUUUAUCCUUUACUACCACUUUAACAAUUAUUUUCAGUUACAUACACCACGUAUAUCCUUAUUUACUUAAUAGAUUUAUUUCUAAGUUAUUAGUUAUUUAUGAAGCCAACUUUAUGUCAUUAUAGCACAAUUUAAAAAUCUAUACAAGUUGCUCUUAGCGAAAGUAAAUAUAAAAGUUAACAUAAUGAAGUGUUAUGGGAAAUCUUAGGGUUUACCAUGUGCCAGAUUCCUUUGUAACUAGAAUACUUGUUAUUAUGGGUCUACCAUGUUCCAGACACUGGGAAUAAGGUGAAAGACAAAAAAAAAAGGUUUGUGUGUUUGCUGCCCACUGAGGGGAAAAAAACAAAACAGAUACAAAAAUAAGUGAGCACCCCCCC
Sus scrofa (pig) is the source of this 510-nucleotide non-coding RNA. Lineage: Eukaryota; Metazoa; Chordata; Mammalia; Artiodactyla; Suidae. The record is from RefSeq and is a predicted model, not a curated record.